Molecule: RNA transcript, 1191 nt
Organism: Chenopodium quinoa (quinoa)
Lineage: Eukaryota; Viridiplantae; Streptophyta; Magnoliopsida; Caryophyllales; Amaranthaceae
Exons: 5
Source: RefSeq, a predicted model, not a curated record
AACAAAAUUCAGGAGAAAUUUCAAUUCCAACAAAUAUGUAUGCAAGUUGCAACCAAACACCACCUUAUUUUUGCCAUAGAAAAGUCAAUUGACUGUCCGGUGAUCACCGGAACCAAAAAAACCUUCUUGCGUAAUUCAAGCGCACAUAUUUUCUCCCCUCUUCGUCUAGCGUAUCACUGUGAUUCACCAAAGCCGAGGAAAUAAUGUCGAAUUCCGACACAAAUUCAACCGGAAAUGCACCAACUAAUAAUUCCAAUUUAAGAAAUUCGCCUGAAAAUGAUGAUAACAUCACGGGUAGUUCAGAAGCUCUAGCUGAAGGCAUUUCUACAAUGGUUGCUACUAUUAUUAGGGAUUUUGAUUACAAAGCUGAAGAUGCUUCUCGAAGCCAAACUCACCUCUUUUCUGCUCUUGAUCGUCUUACUUCUGAGCUCGAUCAGCUAUUGGAGGAUGUACCAUUGCCAUUUAUUAUGCAGCAUGCCACCAAGCUUUCUAAUAUCAGGAAAAGAGUGUCAUCAUUGAACGCAGUCUUGAGAUCUGUGCAACAUCGUCUUGAUAAUAUCGACUGUAUGAUGUCUAUUGGCUCAAUUGGUAUAACAGAGAUGAAGUUUUAAAAAACCAUAUGGAACACUUCAUCUGGUUUACUUAGUCUAAGACUUCACAAUAUUAUUCACCGCAAGCUAGAGACUAAAAUUAUGUUUGGUUUCUAAAAGCAGAUAAUAAAUCAAAUAUAGGAGGCGCCAAGUAAAGUCCUCAUAUAACAGGCUCUUUAUACAGGUAUUCCCAUUAGUUUGGCAUUCUCAGACAAUUUGAAUAUGGAAGAUUAAAUGUGGUCGUACAUGAUAUAGUCUUCCAGGUGUCGAUUUUUUGGUUCAACUCUCUAGAAUUGGAUUUACAUUCAGCUAAUUGUGCACAAGACUGUUUUCUCUUGGUGGAGCUUGAUUUGCUUUAUGUACAAAACUGAUAAGCUGGGUUCGUUUUCUCUUCAGUUUGGACAAAUGAAGCAUGCAUACUGUUGCCUGGGGUUUGUUCUUCCUCACUAAUUUUGUGGAAACAAAUGGUAUUGAACUUUUGUUUUGGAGACUUUUGUAUAACAAUCGCAGUAUUUGUUACACAAUUCAAAUUAUUCUGAGGGGGAACUACUGGCAUGAAAACCUUUUUAUUAUUCAUUCUAUUAUAUUAAUUUUCAAAUCA